This 498-nucleotide ribosomal RNA is filed under the name uncultured bacterium. RNAcentral describes it as "bacterial SSU rRNA". It matches the Rfam family "Bacterial small subunit ribosomal RNA", at positions 28 to 513 of the family's 1533-position model. The record is from RNAcentral.
GAUGAACGCUAGCUACAGGCUUAACACAUGCAAGUCGAGGGGAAACGAUAUUGGAAGCUUGCUUCCGAUAGGCGUCGACCGGCGCACGGGUGAGUAACGCGUAUCCAACCUGCCCAUCACUUGGGGAUAACCUUGCGAAAGUAAGACUAAUACCCAAUGACGUCUCUAGAAGACAUCUGAAAGAGAUUAAAGAUUUAUCGGUGAUGGAUGGGGAUGCGUCUGAUUAGCUUGUUGGCGGGGUAACGGCCCACCAAGGCGACGAUCAGUAGGGGUUCUGAGAGGAAGGUCCCCCACAUUGGAACUGAGACACGGUCCAAACUCCUACGGGAGGCAGCAGUGAGGAAUAUUGGUCAAUGGACGAGAGUCUGAACCAGCCAAGUAGCGUGCAGGAUGACGGCCCUAUGGGUUGUAAACUGCUUUUAUAAGGGAAUAAAGUGAGUCUCGUGAGACUUUUUGCAUGUACCUUAUGAAUAAGGACCGGCUAAUUCCGUGCCAGCA